UACGUAGGGGGCUAGCGUUGUCCGGAUUUAUUGGGCGUAAAGAGCGUGUAGGCGGCUUGUUGCGUCGACUGUGAAAACCCGCGGCUUAACCGCGGGCUUGCAGUUGAUACGGGCAGGCUAGAGUUCGGUAGGGGAGACUGGAAUUCCUGGUGUAGCGGUGAAAUGCGCAGAUAUCAGGAGGAACACCGGUGGCGAAGGCGGGUCUCUGGGCCGAUACUGACGCUGAGACGCGAAAGCGUGGGGAGCAAACAGG
Molecule: ribosomal RNA, 253 nt
Filed under: uncultured bacterium
Lineage: Bacteria
Description: partial 16S ribosomal RNA
Rfam family: Bacterial small subunit ribosomal RNA
Source: RNAcentral